Molecule: non-coding RNA, 27 nt
Filed under: Bombyx mori (domestic silkworm)
Lineage: Eukaryota; Metazoa; Arthropoda; Insecta; Lepidoptera; Bombycidae
Source: RNAcentral
AAGAUCUGUAGAAUAUAACAACGUGCC